CCUUCAAUUUUUGUCUGGUGGUACUGAUCUCCGUUGUAAGUCAUGUGUUGUGUGUUUGAUAGAAGAACUCUGUGAUUCGAAAUCGGGAUAAUGUCUUCACGCUUUACAACUUAUCCUCAAUUUUAUGCUUUUGUCGACGUAAACAACAUCUGCCUCACCAGCCACUCGAAAGGGGAGCACACUCAAGUUUUAGUUUCAAUACAGUUGAAGAAUGACACGAAAGAAAAGUUCGUUGUCGUUUCGGAAACACAGGAAAUGUCGAUUUGCUAAGCCGAUGAAAUGCGUUCUUGUACAACAGUCUCCAGUACCAUCGCCAGGAAGAUUAUCAGUCUUCAAAUGCAAACGAAUUCAAUAUAUUUGUUACGUCAUUGUAAAAAAUGUAAAUCAAAUGACGCAUCAUUCAUUCAUAUACAGUGCGCGGAAUAUCAACGUGACAUCAUUUUCGAUUAUUGCCACAGAUGAAAAGAAAACUAAAACAGCAGAUAAACUUUGUUAGAUUAAUCGUUAUUGAUUUGGUAAUAAUUGGAUUCAACUUUACAACAGAACGCUGAAAUGAGUGUCCGUUUUUUCCUAUAGAUGCCUAGUGCGAAGCUCUAUUUAGUGACGCCAUUGAAUCGGUACAUACAUGUGACAUCGUUUUCGGUCACAAGUAUUUUGAAACUUACAUUACCUUCAUUGAUAACGAAAAGUCGAAAAUAACGUCAAGCUUAUUGAUGUUACUGAAAAGCUGACAUGCUAUAAGUGAUAUGUGAAUUAAAUUUCGAUAAGAAUAACAUUAGUUUUAGACGCAGUUAUUCCCGUUAUCAUAAAAAUACUAUGUUUUGUUACAUAUUACAUUUAUAAACAAGUCAAGUUUUUUUUUAGAUUUCUUUAAGAGCGCGUUUUAGCAUAUGCAUUUUACUACAAUAUUUCCGUGAACUGUUAGAAACUAUCUUCCAAACAUAAAGCUCUGAAAAAUUGUUUUUACAGAAUACCCCACACUUGAUAUUCUUCUUUGUCUACAUAGAAAACAAGUGUCAUGGUAGAAUUGCAAACACAGAUAUAU
This is a long non-coding RNA of Dreissena polymorpha, 1045 nucleotides long. RefSeq lists it as uncharacterized. The transcript has 3 exons. Lineage: Eukaryota; Metazoa; Mollusca; Bivalvia; Myida; Dreissenidae. The record is from RefSeq and is a predicted model, not a curated record.